GGGCCUGUGGCUCAGUGGUAGAGCGCCCGCUUUGCAUCAAGACAGGUCAGUUGAGAUCAGUUAGAGAUCAAAAUGCGGGAGGUCCAGGUUUCGAUCACCUGCCGGUCCA
Molecule: transfer RNA, 109 nt
Organism: Ascochyta rabiei
Lineage: Eukaryota; Fungi; Ascomycota; Dothideomycetes; Pleosporales; Didymellaceae
Rfam family: tRNA
About the family: Transfer RNA (tRNA) molecules are approximately 80 nucleotides in length. Their secondary structure includes four short double-helical elements and three loops (D, anti-codon, and T loops).
Source: Rfam